AUAAAUCUACAAAGAGCAUUUAUAGUUGAUUUUUCUUUUUUUUUUUUCUUUCCCAGUUGUUCAAUUUUGAUUUGUCUUUUUUCUUUUUUUUGAUUAAGCUCAGAGAAGAUUAAUCCUUAUCUUUACCCCUCAUGUUGCUGGCUCAAACUCUUACGAAGUUAUGGUGAGUGCUUGGUGUAAGAUGUAAAAACUAUGUAACCUCAAUAUGAAAAUCAGUUUUGGGACUCAGGACUUCCCCAAGUUGAUUAAGCUUGGCUCGUUCAGGGGUCAUGUUAGUGGAUUUAUAAGCUUCUUUAUUUUGCUUAUUUGUUUCUUCUUUUAAUUAGCCACUCAUGGCUCAUCUAUUUAUUUGAAUUCAAUCGAUUUAUUGUUAGUAUUUAGGAAUUAGUAGAUUUAUUGGCUUCCUCUUAUGGUUACGUAGAUAUUUUCAUUGGUAUUUAUGGUAUUUUAAUGUUGUGGAUUCAUAAAUUUUGUAAUUUAUUUUAUGAUCCUCUAUAUUUCUUAUCUUUGAUGCCAUGCAAUUGUUUUGGUUGAUUAUUUUCCUAGAGGUGAUGGAUAUAAAAGUCUAUCAAAAAUUGUUUGACAAUGUUUAAAUCUUAAUAAAUUAUCUACAAAUUACGUUAACCUUAAUUUUUUUGGUGUGUGCCCCUUAGUGGGUCGUUCCUAAAUAAAAUACAAAAGAAUAAAAAUGACCAAAUUUUCCAUAUAAAAUUUUCAUGAGUAUUUUAAACAUUUUUUAUUUUUUUUAGAAAUACUUCAUUUAUAUGUGAGUUGGAUUGAUGUUCACAUGCUCCAAAAUUCAAAUGAAGAUGAUUUGUAGAAAAAUUCUUAAAUUUCAAAUAUUAUUAGAUAACCGUGACCAAGAUAGACUUUGGAUAGUGAUAAGCCAUGAGCAAAAUGCUGUAGAAAUUCACUCGUAAGUAUUUGUAAGUAUUUUCUAUGUACGCAUGGUAAAAAUAUUAAGGGAAACUUACAUUACUUUCUUUAGAAAUUUAAAAUUAGCUCCAAUAUUCCAUAUUUGUGUUUAUGUUCUGCCUUUUUAGGAGCGCGUCUAGUAUUUCAGUUUUGUCUUUUUUUCUAUAUAACAUAUUGAGAUCAAAUUUUUGUGUUUUUUAUUACCAUAAAGCAUCUUUAAAAGAUAAUUAAACUAAGAUAAAAUGACCUAAAUAUAUGUACAAACUGUAGGGGCAUUUUAGUUAUUUUAGUUUUUUAUUUAUUUAGAGUUAUUAAUUUUAUAUUUUCUAUAAGUGUGGAUUGGUGAGAAGCAUAGACAUUCAAAAUUUGAGAUUAAUUUUAUAAAUAAAAAAAUAAAUCAAAAUUUCCAAAAAAAGUGGGUUGUGAGGGUAACAUAUGAAAUAGUGAGGGCAAUAUUUAAAAAGGAAAAUUUAUCUAAGGUUGGUGCACCUCUAAAAUACAGUCGAAAAAUAGUGUUAUGAAAUUGAAAAACCUUUCAAUUGAUCAUUUUCAUCAUUAAAGCCUUAUCAGUGGUAAACAUUUGCCUAAUGUUUUGAAAGAGCUAAAAUUUUCUAAAUGACUAUGGAGACUCGGCCCAGCUGCAGUUGGAAUCAAGUUCGAUAUUGGCUCUUGGUGCAGACAACAUCCUAGGUGUAGGGGAGAUCGGAGCAAGAGGUCACGCCUUGAAGAUGCCCGUCCUAGGCUGCAGACGCCGCAACAAACACACCAUUGCAAUCUCUGUUGACACCAUCAACUCCUGUUAGACCUGGGUUCUGCAAAGGAGCCUCCCUAAUUAAUCAUAACCUGAGUCCGAAUUUUCAAUUGUAGGCUUUCAAAUAAACUAUAGCACAAGAAUGGCCGAAGUUGUAAAGGUGAGUAGGUGCCAUAACGUUUAGAGUUCUAUUUCUAUCGACUUCUAGAGUUAAACAUUAUUAUUUUGUCAAAAAUAAUAAUAACUACUAUAGGUUGUGAUUUUGUGCUCAUGCUUACUGCAACAGGUAUGCUAAUGAGAAAAAAUAACUGCAAGGAAUCCAUUAAUCCCUAGGAAAUUAGAAUGUAACAUGCUAACAAAGGAGCAAUCAUAUGAGUCAAAUAUUUGAUAAGUAAUUUCUAAUUUUGCCCCUUCAUCAAAAUGAAAGUAGUUUUUUAAAAAACACUUAUGUGAUAAACCAGAACUUUCAAAUACCAAUAUUGCUCUUUAAACACUUCACAAGACAUUCAUUUACAUAUAUUCCAAUGUUUCGCGAGUGAAUUGUUUAAUGAGAUGGCGUGAAAACAUACAAAUUUCAUAUAAGUGUUUAAAGUGAAAUAUUGGUAUUUGAAAUCACCGUUAUCUUUUGAAAAUUAAACGCCAUGGACAUAGUGGAAUUCAAACGUUUAACAUGGUGAUUUAGGGAGUUAUUAGUGUUUGAAAAUACCAAUACUGGUAAUUCAUUUAGUGCAAUACUAUUAUUUGAAAAUCCCAAGACUCUAAUAAUCUAUUUAGUCAGAUAUUGGCGUCAAAAAAUACCAAUAUAUUUAGACAGACGGAAUAAUAGUAACUGCAUAUAUUUGCACCAUUCAUUAUUAGAAAUGAAGGUGGAUACUCUGAGUUACAUGCAACACACAAAGUCCAUUGUGGUGCACCAUAUAGCUACAUGCGCAUCUUGAGUAUUAGUGUUUUAAAACCUGGCAAUUUCCAUUUCAAAUCGUUGAUUUGGGUGGAAAUUAGUCGGAAUGAAACUAGUUUUCGGGAUAGUAUGGGUUCAGGCCUCACUUCCCCUAAAUCCCUUAUAUAUUAUUUUUUUAAUAUUUUAUUUUGGUGUAAUUUGG
Molecule: long non-coding RNA, 2766 nt
Filed under: Amborella trichopoda
Lineage: Eukaryota; Viridiplantae; Streptophyta; Magnoliopsida; Amborellales; Amborellaceae
Description: long non-coding RNA (ATRI_LNC003843)
Source: RNAcentral